RNAcentral lists this ribosomal RNA (395 nucleotides) under uncultured bacterium. RNAcentral's name for it is "partial 16S ribosomal RNA". It matches the Rfam family "Bacterial small subunit ribosomal RNA", at positions 523 to 918 of the family's 1533-position model. The record is from RNAcentral.
AUACGUAGGGUGCAAGCGUUAAUCGGAAUUACUGGGCGUAAAGCGUGCGCAGGCGGUUCGGGAAGAAGGAUGUGAAAUCCCAGGGCUCAACCUUGGAACUGCAUUCUUAACUACCGAACUAGAGUAUGUCAGAGGGGGGUAGAAUUCCGCGUGUAGCAGUGAAAUGCGUAGAUAUGCGGAGGAAUACCGAUGGCGAAGGCAGCCCCCUGGGAUAAUACUGAUGCUCAUGCACGAAAGCGUGGGUAGCAAACAUGAUUAGAUACCCUGGUAGUCCACGCCCUAAACGAUGUCAACUAGCUGUUGGGCCCUUCGGGGCUUAGUAGCGUAGCUAACGCGUGAAGUUGACCGCCUGGGGAGUACGGUCGCAAGAUUAAAACUCAAAUGAAUUGACGGGG